This 465-nucleotide ribosomal RNA is filed under the name uncultured bacterium. Its description in RNAcentral is "partial 16S ribosomal RNA". It matches the Rfam family "Bacterial small subunit ribosomal RNA", at positions 28 to 507 of the family's 1533-position model. The record is from RNAcentral.
GACGAACGCUGGCGGCGUGCUUAACACAUGCAAGUCGAACGGAAAGGCCCCUUUGGGGGUACUCGAGUGGCGAACGGGGGAGUAACACGGGAGUAACCUUCCCUUGCCUUCGGGAUAACUUCAGGUAACUGGGGCUAAUACCGGAUAGGAAUCCAUGCUGCAUGUUGGGGGUUGGAAAGCUUCGGCGGAUUUUGAUGGACUCUCGGCGUAUCGGCUUGUGGGUGGGGUAGUGGCUUACCAAGGCUUUGUCGGGUAGCCGGCCUGCGAGGGCGACCGGCCACAUUGGGCCUGCGCUUACGGCCGGCCGCCGUCGGGAGGCAGCAGUGGUGAAUGUUGCACUGAGGGCGGCAGCCUGAGUCAGCGACGCCGCCUGCGGGAUGACGGACUUCCGGUUGUAAGCCGAUUUCGGCCGGGGCGAGGCUUGUAGUGCCGGUACCUGCUGAAGAAGCACCGGCUAACUACGUG